RNAcentral lists this long non-coding RNA (473 nucleotides) under Amborella trichopoda. Its description in RNAcentral is "long non-coding RNA (ATRI_LNC002804)". Lineage: Eukaryota; Viridiplantae; Streptophyta; Magnoliopsida; Amborellales; Amborellaceae. The record is from RNAcentral.
AAAACGAAUCAUCGAUAUUAGCGGGCGUCUGACUAUUCCCAAAUCCCUGAGUGUUAGUGUUUUGUUGUGUUCCCAAUCCAAAAUCCCCGAAGCUUGUCCAUCCUUCAUGCUCACCUGCACUGUCGUGCUCAUCCCUACACUGUUGCUGUUGGGACUCGAUAUGUGAAUAAUAUGGCUGGGAUAGGGUGGCCUCAGAAUCAUCAUCUCUCUUAUUUUCUCUUAGACCCCCUUCCCACUCUCCCUCAUUAGGUGCAAUAUCACCGACAUAUUGUGGAUACAUUGGCUGGCUGCUUCCUCUUUCAUGCUGCUCAUCACUUUCUUCAAUAUCUUCAUCACCGAUAGCCUCAAGGAACGCUCUCUUGUACAACACUGGCUCCUCCUCUUCUACUACCCAUUGGUCUGCUGUGUCUGUGACAAAUAUUGUGUCUAAGUCUAUCGGCCUAUAGUCUUCAAGCUUCCUUCUUAUUUGUCGC